CACACGCUUUAGGAAACAUCCUG
This 23-nucleotide small nuclear RNA is filed under the name Arabidopsis thaliana (thale cress). Its description in RNAcentral is "snRNA_04039". The record is from RNAcentral. Lineage: Eukaryota; Viridiplantae; Streptophyta; Magnoliopsida; Brassicales; Brassicaceae.